Molecule: long non-coding RNA, 1814 nt
Organism: Strongylocentrotus purpuratus (purple sea urchin)
Lineage: Eukaryota; Metazoa; Echinodermata; Echinoidea; Camarodonta; Strongylocentrotidae
Exons: 3
Source: RefSeq, a predicted model, not a curated record
AGUACAUCGCAACUUGUGAUGGCGGACAUUUUGACGGAAAAAUUUGUGCUGACAUUGUCACAAAAGAUUGAUCCUGGGCAGGUCACCGCACAAACCAUAAGCGUUUGCCUGGGAUUAAGCCGAGCCAAGGGCUCUGGCGCAGCGAUACAGGCAAAUGUCGACAAAAAUCAACAUUACGCAUUCGAAGAUCUCUUGUGCCAGUAUGUUUUGAGGAAUGGACGGAACAGUGAAAGUGCUCUCAAUCUGAGAAGGAAAUUUCUAGAGAAUGGCAUGAAGGAAUAUGCUGACGUCAUCAAAGCAGAACUAGAGAAGUUUAGAAUUCCUGUCCCGUCAGACAAAGAAACACUCAAGGACUGACUUGUAUCCUCCCCGAGCCAUCCUUGCGGCACACCAGUUGCAUGGAAGUAAGUGAUGAAUUUGACAAGAUCUUGCGGAGGGUAGCCGAGUUUAUGAGUGAUGAUUAAGAAAUCGACCGCCUUGCUUCGGAACUGUACGUCAGCGUACCAGAUACCGAACGCUUCAUCCGAAAAAUGAUGGCGUCACUUGGAGAGGUACCCUCGACAUGCUGAGGACAUGGCGCAAAAGGGUUGAUAAAUCGCAGGAACGUGUAAGACUUAGGGCUGCUCUACUUAGGGCUGAACAGAUUAACCUUGUGAGCACCCUACUACCAGAAGAGGAGGAUUAAUAAUUGAAGAGAAAGAUGAGUUCUGAGAAAGGUGGAAAAUGAUUUUGAGCCCCUUUCUUCUAUUCUCUUUACGUUAGUGUGAAAAAUAACAUAGUUAAAAAAAUCCCCUGCAAAAAAGGGGCACUUCAAAAAACCCUUACAUUCGAAAUAUACCAAGAAACAGAUGAAGUGUUCAGACAAAAUUUAAUGCCACAUGUGUGCGUAAUCCCAUAUACACAUUUAUAUUUACAAUGCACGUGACAUCCAGCUAGACUGUUUUUAGAUGUUGAUGAUUCCGAUAGUACACCAAUUCCUAAGUGCUACAUAAUCAACCCUUUUCCAUUGCGAAAGCUCCCCUCCCCAAUGUUUUCAUAUUUCCCUUUUUUAAAUCGCGACGGACAUGGAAAACGCAUGCAAAUAACCCCCAAGUUCCUCAAGUCUCCCUAAACCUUAUUUUAGGCCCGCUACUGCACAUGACCACCUUUUUACAGGAGUUAGCUAGAUUUCAACCCACAUCGACAUGGGAUGACGAGUGACGAAGCAGAACUAACUGAACUACAGCACAAAAUAGCACUUUGUUACAAUAUUUUGUUCAACAAGUCAGGUUACCCCCAGAACAGUGUUCAUAUUGUCCUGAGUGAAUCUUCUUGUUCAAAAUGUGUUUUGUUUGUCUGGUGUUUUUGUUUUUUAAACGUAAACGUGCUUUCACUGAGGUAUUUGUCUCAAAACUGUUUACAGCUAGUAACACCAGAGGUGACAGUAGCGUCUCUAGGUAUUGUGGCACCUGUUUUGUGGCACCAUUGUUUGUGAUUGAAUUAUUACAAGUUUCUCUUUUUUUAUGUUUCAUUUUUAUUUUGUUACAUUAUCCCAUGUUCUUUCAAACAAAUAGUGGCUUCUAAAAAUAUAUUAUUGGCUGACGAAAUAUUCCUUGUCUCAUAUUCAAUGUGUCAUAUUUUAUACCACAGUACUUCUACAUCUUCCCCGUUCAGUGUUUAAAACUCGAUUAAAUUUCAUUAUACAAAUAGGGGAAUGACCCAGCUGUCUUUCCCUUUCUUUUUCUACGUAAGAAAGGAGUUUUUAUAUUCAUUGCAUUGAAAUGAUGUACGGCUGUAUAUGCAUAGUUUGUUUGAUUAAAAAUGCAUUAGACGUA